GACGAACGCUGGCGGCGUGCCUAAUACAUGCAAGUUGAGCGCUGAAGGUUGGUACUUGUACCAACUGGAUGAGCAGCGAACGGGUGAGUAACGCGUGGGGAAUCUGCCUUUGAGCGGGGGACAACAUUUGGAAACGAAUGCUAAUACCGCAUAAAAACUUUAAACACAAGUUUUAAGUUUGAAAGAUGCCAUUGCAUCACUCAAAGAUGAUCCCGCGUUGUAUUAGCUAGUUGGUGAGGUAAAGGCUCACCAAGGCGAUGAUACAUAGCCGACCUGAGAGGGUGAUCGGCCACAUUGGGACGGAGACACGGCCCAAACUCCUACGGGAGGCAGCAGUAGGGAAUCGUCGGCAAGGGACGAAAGUCUGACCGAGCAACGCCGCGUGAGGGAAGAAGGUUUUCGGAUCGUAAAACUCGGUUGGUAGAGAAGAACGUUGGUGAGAGUGGAAAGCUCAUCAAGUGACGGUAACUACCCAGAAAGGGACGGCUAACUACGUG
RNAcentral lists this ribosomal RNA (497 nucleotides) under uncultured bacterium. RNAcentral describes it as "partial 16S ribosomal RNA". It matches the Rfam family "Bacterial small subunit ribosomal RNA", at positions 28 to 507 of the family's 1533-position model. The record is from RNAcentral.